RNAcentral lists this unclassified non-coding RNA (356 nucleotides) under soil metagenome. RNAcentral describes it as "partial contains 5.8S ribosomal RNA, internal transcribed spacer 2, and large subunit ribosomal RNA". The stretch from base 1 to 119 matches the Rfam family "5.8S ribosomal RNA", at positions 35 to 154 of the family's 154-position model. The record is from RNAcentral.
GAUGAAGAACGCAGCGAAAUGCGAUAAGUAAUGUGAAUUGCAGAAUUCAGUGAAUCAUCGAAUCUUUGAACGCACAUUGCGCCCGUCAGUAUUCUGGCGGCAUGCCUGUUCGAGCGUCAUUACGCCCCUCAAGUCCCCUGUGGACUUGGUGUUGGGGAUCGGCGAGGCUGGUUUUCCAGCACAGCCGUCCCUUAAAUUAAUUGGCGGUCUCGCCGUGGCCCUCCUCUGCGCAGUAGUAAAACACUCGCAACAGGAGCCCGGCGCGGUCCACUGCCGUAAAACCCCCCAACUUUUUAUAGUUGACCUCGAAUCAGGUAGGACUACCCGCUGAACUUAAGCAUAUCAAUAAGCGGAGA